UAAAUUAUGAGAUUAAAUCAAUAAAUAAUCAUUAAAAAAAAUUAAAACGAAAAGACUCAAUUUCAGUCAUUAUUCUUAUUUGUCUGAUUUAAAUUGAAACAAUCCUUAAUAUAUUCCAUCUUUCUGAGGCAGAGGGACAUUAUUCUUGGUUUUAUUAUAUUUAAUUUAAUAUCUCUGGAUAUUUUUCAUAAUUGGUUUGCGUACAACAGUUAACAACUUUAAGCUUAUACAUUAACUUUAGUUAUAACUUGAUUAUUAAUGAUUUGUUUUGUAGACUUUUAUAGCAAUACAAGAUUGAAUUUAGCAGAAGGCUAAACUUCUGCUCUGGAGACAAAAAAGGAAGACAGCAAAAAUGACCAGCCAAAAUAAAGAUUAAAGAAACAAAAAAUUGUGUAUAUCUUGGUGUAGAAGAUUUAUCCUCAAUUUCUUAUAAUAAAACUAAAAAUGUUAUUAAACUUUAAGAUUUACCUGUAACUCUAAACCUUUUACACAAGUUCAAUGUUUGCUCUGAGAAGUUGAAUGAACAAAGUUUAUUAAAUGAUAAAGUUGUAUCCCUAAAAGAUAUGCUGGUAUUAUUGGCACUAUGGGCAAGCAUUGAAGUGCAACUUGGUGAACUACAAAACACAUCAAAUAUAGUUAUAAAAAUUUGAGUAACAAAGGUAUGCUAAUUAUUGUAUUGCCUGAAAGAGUGUCAUUAAAAGUAAAGAAUUCAAGUACUCUGGAAGAAAAAAGACAAGAAAAGACUUAAUUAAAUGGUAAAUAUUUUUUUAUGAUCUGUUUAUGCGUUUUGUAUGAUAUCUUAGUAUGAUUUAUAUACAUUAAAUAAAAUAUUCAUUGAAGAUUUUUUGUAAAUGACAUUUUAUAUUAAUUUAAGUUACUUUAAUUAUUGCCAAGCUGUGUAUUUUUGCAGGUUAAUUAUUUGACACAAAUUAGAUUUAAGGACGAAGGAGAUUGUAUAUGUUAUUUACUAAGAAUAGUUUUUUAAAAUGGCCUAGCUGUAAAAUUAAGCUAUGCAGGUAGAAGACAAAAAAUUGGAAUAGGAAAAAUGUUGCUUGCAUAUGCUGCUAUUGAAACUGUGAAGUCAAAUAAGCAUAGCUUAUGCAGACAUUUGAUAGAGAUAGUGGAAAAAAAAUAAUAAAUAAUCGUGGGCACCAAAUACCAUAAGCUAAACACAAUUCAAUAACAAGUAGCUCAGCCAAUAUCGAAACUACUCUAUAAGUUUUGUAGUGAAUUUUUUUAUUUAAAACUCAAUGUGUCAGUUUUUGGUUUAGGUUUGUUGUUUGCAAUAUGUAUAUUUAACCGAGAAAUUAUGUUAAAUAAAUAAAUUUUUAUACUUGUA
Molecule: long non-coding RNA, 1339 nt
Organism: Hydra vulgaris (swiftwater hydra)
Lineage: Eukaryota; Metazoa; Cnidaria; Hydrozoa; Anthoathecata; Hydridae
Source: RefSeq, a predicted model, not a curated record